This 253-nucleotide ribosomal RNA is filed under the name uncultured bacterium. RNAcentral's name for it is "partial 16S ribosomal RNA". It matches the Rfam family "Bacterial small subunit ribosomal RNA", at positions 524 to 776 of the family's 1533-position model. The record is from RNAcentral.
AACGUAGGAGGCGAGCGUUAUCCGGAUUUACUGGGCGUAAAGCGUACGCAGGCGGCUUCGUGAGUCGGAUGUGAAAGCUCCUGGCUUAACUGGGAGAGGCCAUUCGGAACUGCGGGGCUUGAGGUUGGGAGAGGGGUGCGGAAUUCCCGGUGUAGUGGUGGAAUGCGUAGAGAUCGGGAGGAACACCUGUGGCGAAAGCGGCACCCUGGCCCACACCUGACGCUGAGGUACGAAAGCGUGGGUAGCAAACAGG